GCCGGCGUAGCUCAGUGGCAGAGCAGCUGAUUCGUAAUCCGCAGGUCACGGGUUCAAGUCCCGUCGCCGGCUCCA
RNAcentral lists this transfer RNA (75 nucleotides) under Clostridiales bacterium UBA8153. RNAcentral describes it as "tRNA-Thr". It matches the Rfam family "tRNA". From Rfam's summary of the family: Transfer RNA (tRNA) molecules are approximately 80 nucleotides in length. Their secondary structure includes four short double-helical elements and three loops (D, anti-codon, and T loops). Further hydrogen bonds mediate the characteristic L-shaped molecular structure. tRNAs have two regions of fundamental functional importance: the anti-codon, which is responsible for specific mRNA codon recognition, and the 3' end, to which the tRNAs corresponding amino acid is attached (by aminoacyl-tRNA synthetases). tRNAs cope with the degeneracy of the genetic code in two manners: having more than one tRNA (with a specific anti-codon) for a particular amino acid; and 'wobble' base-pairing, i.e. permitting non-standard base-pairing at the 3rd anti-codon position. The record is from RNAcentral. Lineage: Bacteria; Bacillati; Bacillota; Clostridia; Eubacteriales; Clostridiales Family XVII. Incertae Sedis.